GGAUUCCCCUAGUAACGGCGAGUGAAGAGGGAAUAGCCCAGCACCGAAGCCUGCGACAGUUUUGUUGUUAGGCAAUGUGGUGUUUGGGUCGGCUAGUGGGAUUGCCACUCCACUCGAAGUCCAGCAUUGAGUAUGGUCACUGGAUUUGGCCCAGAGAGGGUGAAAGGCCCGUACGGGUGGAGGUCUCAGACAAGUAAGGCAAUUCACCAGGCCGGCCUUAGAGUCGGGUUGUUUGUGAAUGCAGCCCAAAGUGGGUGGUAAACUCCAUCCAAGGCUAAAUACAAGCACGAGUCCGAUAGCGAACAAGUACCGUGAGGGAAAGUUGAAAAGUACUUUGAAGAGAGAGUAAACAGUACGUGAAACCGCAUGCAGGUAAACGGGUGGCGUCAAGCUGCAAGCCCAGAGGAUUCAGCUGGCUAGGAUGUUGUGUAUGCGCUUGCGCAUCUAUCAGUCAGAAUAAGAUGUGAUAGUCCACUGGUAAACGGUGGGCCCGGCCGCAAGGUUGGGAUAUGUGUACCGGGCGGAAGCCGGAGCAUGCUAUUCGUCUGUUGGGCUGUCUAGUCAGUGCACUUUCUCUGUGGUGAACACCACGACCGGUGGAAUUGCCAGUCUGCUGUAGUCAAGUCGUAUUCAGUCGGUUCUUGUAGCCAACUGGGUGCGAUCACAGGCAAACUCAGUAAACGGCGUAGGGGUGUUUCGGCAUCCCUGCGUGUUAUCGGCUGCUGGUUGUCAACGGGCCUGCCUGAUGAUUGUUGUAACCGUCAUUGGGUGGUCUGGUGGGCUAUGGUGGUAAGAAUAACUGUGCAAGGCAUCGGAGUUCUCGGCCUCAAAUGCAUCCUGCAUACACGUUACAAGUGGAGUGGGGUGCCAUUGCAGCCUGCCUGUUGUUGGGUCUGAUUGUCGUGUCGCCUGCGCAAAGUGGGCCCGGCAGUGGCCUGAUGCGGGAUGGGUUGUGGAUGGUGCUUCCUGUGU
This 972-nucleotide ribosomal RNA is filed under the name Clistobothrium montaukensis. Its description in RNAcentral is "partial large subunit ribosomal RNA". It matches the Rfam family "Eukaryotic large subunit ribosomal RNA", at positions 72 to 649 of the family's 3401-position model. The record is from RNAcentral. Lineage: Eukaryota; Metazoa; Platyhelminthes; Cestoda; Phyllobothriidea; Phyllobothriidae.